This is a transfer RNA of Pestalotiopsis fici W106-1, 72 nucleotides long. It matches the Rfam family "tRNA". Rfam says of the family: Transfer RNA (tRNA) molecules are approximately 80 nucleotides in length. Their secondary structure includes four short double-helical elements and three loops (D, anti-codon, and T loops). NCBI's taxonomy places the organism in Eukaryota, Fungi, Ascomycota, Sordariomycetes, Amphisphaeriales, Sporocadaceae. The record is from Rfam.
GCCCGCUUGGCUCAUCGGUAGAGCGCCUCACUAGUAAUGAGGAGGCAAUUGGUUCGACUCCAGUAGUGGGCA